This 384-nucleotide ribosomal RNA is filed under the name uncultured bacterium. Its description in RNAcentral is "bacterial SSU rRNA". It matches the Rfam family "Bacterial small subunit ribosomal RNA", at positions 100 to 502 of the family's 1533-position model. The record is from RNAcentral.
GGACGGGUGAGUAACGCGUGGGUAACCUGCCUUACACUGGGGGAUAACAGUUAGAAAUAGCUGCUAAUACCGCAUAAGCGCACGGUUCCGCAUGGAACAGUGUGAAAAACUCCGGUGGUGUGAGAUGGACCCGCGUCUGAUUAGCCAGUUGGCGGGGUAACGGCCCACCAAAGCGACGAUCAGUAGCCGGCCUGAGAGGGUGAACGGCCACAUUGGGACUGAGACACGGCCCAAACUCCUACGGGAGGCAGCAGUGGGGAAUAUUGCACAAUGGGGGAAACCCUGAUGCAGCGACGCCGCGUGAGUGAAGAAGUAUUUCGGUAUGUAAAGCUCUAUCAGCAGGGAAGAAAGUGACGGUACCUGAAUAAGAAGCCCCGGCUAACU